AGCCCUUGACAUCCUGUGUUAACCCAGAGAGAUUUGGGGUCCACUUCGGUGGCGCAGAGACAGGUGCUGCAUGGCUGUCGUCAGCUCGUGUCGUGAGAUGUUGGGUUAAGUCCCGCAACGAGCGCAACCCUCGCCCUUAGUUGCCAGCAUUCAGUUGGGCACUCUAAGGGGACUGCCGGUGAUAAGCCGAGAGGAAGGUGGGGAUGACGUCAAGUCCUCAUGGCCCCUUACGGG
RNAcentral lists this ribosomal RNA (234 nucleotides) under uncultured bacterium. RNAcentral describes it as "partial 16S ribosomal RNA". It matches the Rfam family "Bacterial small subunit ribosomal RNA", at positions 977 to 1208 of the family's 1533-position model. The record is from RNAcentral.